CCUUGCUCUGCCUCAAGUCUGUUGCUCUGCCUGAAGUCUCAAAUUCUGUUUCGUUUUUUGUUUUCCUUUUUUAUGUAGGUAUCUCAAUGUCUCAUCCUGCUAAACUUCGGAUCAUACUCAAAGACCAUAACAUUCGAAAAUUGGACUUACCACAUGGAAUCCCUGGAACAGUGGAGGAACUUGAAUCUAUUGUGAAAGACACUUUUGAGGUUGAUGGAAAGUUUACUUUGCACUAUAAGGAUGCUGACUUUGGAGAAGAAUAUUUUUCUCUGACAUCAACAGGUGAUAUCAAGGACAAGGACACACUCAAGGUGGUUCAGAUUAUUGAACCCCCCACAGUUACUCUGACAUUUAGUGAUGUAGACAGUUCCUUUAUAUCUGCAUCAGAGACCUUGGUCAAUGCUUCAGCAAUGUCAGAGACUUCCAGUGUGUCCUGUGGCACCAGUUGCUCAUCUGGAUCUCAGGAUACAGUAAUUCUUUCCUCACCUGAACAUCUGAGUCAGCGUUUACAGCGCUGGCCUACCAGUUUUUCUGUUCCUCGCUUUGCUUAUGACACUGAGCUUUUACUUGCUUCAGGAAAUGAAGCUUUCAAAAAGGAUGGAACUAAACUCAACUUUAUUCCAGUUCUUCCAGAUAUCCUUGAGAAAUUGGCUGAAACGAUCUUUCAGUAUGUUGCCUACCCAACAUCUGCACAGUUAGCAGAUGUAGCUGAAGCACUUGUUCGACAGCAUCCAUGCCUUAAAGAACCAGGAUCCUAUAAUGGAUGCUAUGGAUGGCAACAAAGACUAAAAUAUAAAAUGGGCAAUUACAGAAGUAAACUCAGAGGGCUUGGGUGCCCUGAGCUGGAUGUGAACUCUCUCAAAAGAAAGCAAGCACAUGAGAAGACACCUUCAAAGAAUCUUAAAAAGCCAAGAAAGGCUGAGGUGAACUAUUUGCCACCUAACCCACAAGGAGAAACAGAGGAAAGUUUGGAAAAGGAAAGAUUGCAACUUCUUGAUGAAGUGAAGAAGAGGAACAACUAUCGGAUCAUCAGUGAAAAAAUGGCCAAAACAUUCUCGAGUCGCAGACAGGAAGUUGUUAAUCUGGCACCACCUGUCAGUGACUUCAAAAGUAGAUGGCCUGCACUUUUUGAUGCAACACAGAUAAAUGACGAGUUCCAAAGGAUCACCACUGUUAACUUGGAAACAACAUUCAUGGCAAAACUGGACCAGUAUUCCGCAAGAAUAAUGUCCCUGGCCUCUUCAAAAGCAGGAGCAUUGUUGGCUAUCUUUUAUUGAAGAGUGAAUAAGUGAAAAUCGGAGGUGGACAG
Molecule: long non-coding RNA, 1309 nt
Organism: Pelmatolapia mariae (spotted tilapia)
Lineage: Eukaryota; Metazoa; Chordata; Actinopteri; Cichliformes; Cichlidae
Exons: 3
Source: RefSeq, a predicted model, not a curated record